Molecule: unclassified non-coding RNA, 284 nt
Filed under: uncultured fungus
Lineage: Eukaryota; Fungi
Description: partial contains 5.8S ribosomal RNA, internal transcribed spacer 2, and large subunit ribosomal RNA
Rfam family: 5.8S ribosomal RNA (bases 1-52)
Source: RNAcentral
AACGCAAAUUGCGCUCCUUGGUAUUCCAGGGAGCAUGCCUGUUUGAGCGUUGUAAAAUUCUUACUCUUGAUUUAUUAUAUGUAAAUCUUAUGAGUACAUCUUGGGUUGAUCUGUUUUUUAUAGAGCAACCUAAAAUGAAUAGGCGGAAAACUCUUUAAAAAGUAGCCGUUGACGCAUCAAGUUUUAAUUAACUAUCGUCCUUGGUUAUGAGAUUUCUUGUUUCUUACUAUUAUAAUUUUAACAACUAUGACCUCAAAUCAGGUAGGACUACGCGCUGAACUUAA